This 459-nucleotide ribosomal RNA is filed under the name uncultured Planctomycetota bacterium. RNAcentral's name for it is "bacterial SSU rRNA". It matches the Rfam family "Bacterial small subunit ribosomal RNA", at positions 8 to 475 of the family's 1533-position model. The record is from RNAcentral. Lineage: Bacteria; Pseudomonadati; Planctomycetota.
AGAGUUUGAUCCUGGCUCAGAAUGAACGUUGGCGGCGUGGAUUAGGCAUGCAAGUCGUGCGAGAAGCUUUCCUUCGGGAGGGUGGACAGCGGCGCAAGGGAGAGUAAUACAUGGAUACCUGCCCCGGGAUCCGGGAUAGCCGUGGGAAACUGCGGGUAAUACCGGAUAAUGUCUCCGGACCAAAGGUGUGAUUCCGUCUUGGGAUGGGUCCAUGUCCUAUUAGCUUGUUGGUGAGGUAAUGGCUCACCAAGGCUGCGAUGGGUACCGGGCGUGAGAGCGUGACCCGGCUCACUGGGACUGAGACACUGCCCAGACACCUACGGGUGGCUGCAGUCGAGAAUCUUCGGCAAUGGGCGCAAGCCUGACCGAGCGACGCCGCGUGCGGGAUGAAGGCCUUCGGGUUGUAAACCGCUGUCAGAGGGGAUGAAAUGCUAUGGGGUUCUCUCCAUAGUUUGACAA